RNAcentral lists this ribosomal RNA (506 nucleotides) under uncultured bacterium. Its description in RNAcentral is "partial 16S ribosomal RNA". It matches the Rfam family "Bacterial small subunit ribosomal RNA", at positions 29 to 523 of the family's 1533-position model. The record is from RNAcentral.
AUUGAACGCUGGCGGCAGGCCUAACACAUGCAAGUCGGACGGUAGCACAGAGGAGCUUGCUCCUCGGGUGACGAGUGGCGGACGGGUGAGUAAUGUCUGGGGAUCUGCCCGAUAGAGGGGGAUAACCACUGGAAACGGUGGCUAAUACCGCAUAACGUCGCAAGACCAAAGAGGGGGACCUUCGGGCCUCUCACUAUCGGAUGAACCCAGAUGGGAUUAGCUAGUAGGCGGGGUAACGGCCCACCUAGGCGACGAUCCCUAGCUGGUCUGAGAGGAUGACCAGCCACACUGGAACAGCGACACGGUCCAGACUCCUACGGGAGGCAGCAGUGGGGAAUAUUGCACAAUGGGCGCAAGCCUGAUGCAGCCAUGCCGCGUGUAUGAAGAAGGCCUUCGGGUUGUAAAGUACUUUCAGCGGGGAGGAAGGCGAUGUGGUUAAUAACCGCGUCGAUUGACGUUACCCGCAGAAGAAGCACCGGCUAACUCCGUGCCAGCCGCCGCAGUAA